RNAcentral lists this ribosomal RNA (493 nucleotides) under uncultured bacterium. Its description in RNAcentral is "partial 16S ribosomal RNA". It matches the Rfam family "Bacterial small subunit ribosomal RNA", at positions 30 to 507 of the family's 1533-position model. The record is from RNAcentral.
AUUGAACGCUGGCGGCAUGCUUUACACAUGCAAGUCGAACGGCAACGAGGAGAAGCUUGCUUCUCUGUCGGCGAGUGGCGAACGGGUGAGUAUAGCAUCGGAACGUGCCAAGUAGUGGGGGAUAACCAAACGAAAGUUUGGCUAAUACCGCGUAAGCUCCAAGGAGGAAAGUAGGGGACCUAAAUAAGGCCUUACGCUAUUUGAUCGGCCGAUGUCGGAUUAGCUAGUUGGUGGGGUAAUGGCUCACCAAGGCAAUGAUCCGUAGCGGGUCUGAAAGGACGAUCCGCCACACUGGGACUGAGACACGGCCCAGACUCCUACGGGAGGCAGCAGUGGGGAAUUUUGGACAAUGGGGGAAACCCUGAUCCAGCCAUGCCGCGUGUAUGAAGAAGGCCUUAGGGUUGUAAAGUACUUUUGUUAGGGAAGAAAAGCUAGUUUUUAAUAAAAAUUAGUGAUGACGGUACCUAAAGAAUAAGCACCGGCUAACUACGUG